RNAcentral lists this ribosomal RNA (253 nucleotides) under uncultured bacterium. RNAcentral describes it as "partial 16S ribosomal RNA". It matches the Rfam family "Bacterial small subunit ribosomal RNA", at positions 524 to 776 of the family's 1533-position model. The record is from RNAcentral.
UACAGAGGUCUCAAGCGUUGUUCGGAUUCAUUGGGCGUAAAGGGUGCGUAGGUGGCAUGGUAAGUCGGAUGUGAAAUCCCGGGGCUUAACCCCGGAACUGCAUUCGAUACUGCCAGGCUAGAGUACUGGAGAGGAGAUUGGAAUUUACGGUGUAGCAGUGAAAUGCGUAGAUAUCGGAAGGAACAUCAGUGGCGAAAGCGACUUCCUGGACCAAUACUGACGCUCAUGUGCGAAAGCGUGGGGAGCAAACAGG